CCUACGGGAGGCAGCAGUGAGGAAUAUUGGUCAAUGGGCGGAAGCGUGAACCAGCCAAGUAGCGUGCAGGAUGACGGCCCUACGGGUUGUAAACUGCUUUUAUACGGGAAUAACGCGCCUUACGUGUAGGGCUUUGCAUGUACCGUAUGAAUAAGGACCGGCUAAUUCCGUGCCAGCAGCCGCGGUAAUACGGAAGGUCCGGGCGUUAUCCGGAUUUAUUGGGUUUAAAGGGAGCGUAGGCCGCAUGUCAAGCGUGCUGUGAAAUGUCCGGGCUCAACCCGGGCCUUGCAGCGCGAACUGGCGUGCUUGAGUCCGCGGAAAGCAGGCGGAAUUCGUCGUGUAGCGAUGAAAUGCUUAGAUAUGACGAAGAACCCCGAUUGCGAAGGCAGCUUGCUGCAGCGGAACUGACGCUGAUGCUCGAAAGCGCGGGUAUCGAACAGGAUUAGAUACCCGAGUAGUC
Molecule: ribosomal RNA, 460 nt
Filed under: uncultured bacterium
Lineage: Bacteria
Description: partial 16S ribosomal RNA
Rfam family: Bacterial small subunit ribosomal RNA
Source: RNAcentral